Molecule: transfer RNA, 74 nt
Filed under: Cellulomonas hominis
Lineage: Bacteria; Bacillati; Actinomycetota; Actinomycetes; Micrococcales; Cellulomonadaceae
Description: tRNA-Cys
Rfam family: tRNA
About the family: Transfer RNA (tRNA) molecules are approximately 80 nucleotides in length. Their secondary structure includes four short double-helical elements and three loops (D, anti-codon, and T loops). Further hydrogen bonds mediate the characteristic L-shaped molecular structure. tRNAs have two regions of fundamental functional importance: the anti-codon, which is responsible for specific mRNA codon recognition, and the 3' end, to which the tRNAs corresponding amino acid is attached (by aminoacyl-tRNA synthetases). tRNAs cope with the degeneracy of the genetic code in two manners: having more than one tRNA (with a specific anti-codon) for a particular amino acid; and 'wobble' base-pairing, i.e. permitting non-standard base-pairing at the 3rd anti-codon position.
Source: RNAcentral
GGUGCUGUGGCCGAGUGGCUAGGCAGCGGCCUGCAAAGCCGUCUACGCCGGUUCGAAUCCGGCCAGCACCUCCA